AGCGAACGCUGGCGGCAGGCCUAACACAUGCAAGUCGAACGCACCUUCGGGUGAGUGGCGGACGGGUGAGUAACACGUGGGAACGUACCUUUUGGUUCGGAAUAACGCAGGGAAACUUGUGCUAAUACCGGAUGUGCCCUUCGGGGGAAAGAUUUAUCGCCAUUAGAGCGGCCCGCGUUAGAUUAGCUAGUUGGUGAGGU
Molecule: ribosomal RNA, 200 nt
Filed under: uncultured bacterium
Lineage: Bacteria
Description: partial 16S ribosomal RNA
Rfam family: Bacterial small subunit ribosomal RNA
Source: RNAcentral